CCCUGCUAGAUGUUGUGUAUCAUAGGAGCAAGCAGAGAAAAACACUGGAAACAAGCCCUGUUUUCCUUCAGUGUUUCCUAGAGCCAUCUGCUGACAACACUAACAUUGGGCAUCUGACAGAGGAGAAAUAUUUAUAAGGUUUAGCUCCAGUGUCACAGGCAGAGCAAUGGAGGAUGGAUUUGGAGCUGCAAGGAAAUAAACUGGUAACUGAACAAAACCAGUCCAAGAAGAAGAUGGGAUAUAAGAGAUACUUGACAAUUUCAAAGUCCUAGGCCCACUUCCUGAGCUGAGCAAGAUGGAUCUGAGAACGCUGUCUGGGCUUGGUGCCAAGGGCUGGUAUUUCACAGCAGCGACCGCCUCACAGACGAGCUGUGGGAAGCAGGAGGGAGACUCUCUCUUAGGGUGCCACUACUAU
Macaca mulatta (Rhesus monkey) is the source of this 415-nucleotide non-coding RNA. NCBI's taxonomy places the organism in Eukaryota, Metazoa, Chordata, Mammalia, Primates, Cercopithecidae. The record is from RefSeq and is a predicted model, not a curated record.